Molecule: ribosomal RNA, 376 nt
Filed under: uncultured eukaryote
Lineage: Eukaryota
Description: partial 18S ribosomal RNA
Rfam family: Eukaryotic small subunit ribosomal RNA
Source: RNAcentral
CAAUAGCGUAUAUUAAUGUUGUUGCAGUUAAAAAGCUCGUAGUUGGAUUUCUGACGAGAGCCCUGGUCACUUUAACGAGUGUACUGAUGUGGCGUCUUGUCGCUUCAUGGGGAUGCUUGCUGGUAUUAAGUUAUCGGCUUGUGGAUCCAUGUCGUUUACUGUGAAAAAAUUAGAGUGUUCAAAGCAGGCCAUCGCUGUGAAUACAUUAGCAUGGAAUAAUAAGAUAGGACUGUGGUGCUAUUUUGUUGGUUUGCGUACUACGGUAAUGAUUAAUAGGGAUAGUUGGGGGUAUUCAUAUUCAAUUGUCAGAGGUGAAAUUCUUGGAUUUAUGGAAGAUGAACUACUGCGAAAGCAUUUACCAAGGAUGUUUNCAUUA